AUGUACUUAUUUAAUAAUUAAUAACUAAUUAUACCUGUAGUAAAAAUAUAAGUGACUCUUUAGUCAUUAGUAAAGGAUAUUGAAAAUAUAUACAGCGAGUUUUUAAAUUUCUAUUAGAGGCGGGAGAACUGCGUCUGCAGGGAUUACCAAAAAAAUACUCAACAAAAAUAUGAUAUGAUACGAUAUAUGUGUAUAAUCGUAUAUGAGUAUACCGGAUUUGUACACCUCAUCACGCAUAAAAUGUUUUAUAAGUAAGCAGGUACCAAGUAAUACUCAGCAUUUUUAAGCCAGGAAAUCUAAAUAAGCGGAUAAGCCAUUAAACAGUGGCUUAACGAUAUAGACGUUGUAACUGAAUAUUUUACUAUAUUUACAUAUUAUUGACGAUUGUAUAAACAUAAUAUAUACUAAGACACUUGUAUCAUAAAGAAUAUUAGAACAUAAUUAACUCCAAAUUAGUAGGUACAUUAUUACAUAAUACACCAUUAGUAGGUACCUAUAUAUCGUCAAAGUGUAUGUAGGUAUACCUAUUCCACUUUAAAAUUCUGUUGUAUUCAUCAUUUAUUUUUUAGAACUACACAAAAUAUUAUAUUUUAUCUAUAAUAAACUGACCGUCUAGAGGCAGCUCGAUGCCUAUAAUAAAUUAUUUACCAUAAUUUAGUAGUGGUGCCGAACCCCUAAAAGUGAAUUCAGGUCAAGUGAAAAUACGGCGACCACAAGUUACUACUUCGUAUGGAAAAACAUUUUAUGAAAGUUUAAUUAUGGUUUUACUUUCAAAAAAAAUAUUAACAAUGCAACACAUUAGUAUUUAUCAGAAAUAUCCAAGUAUGAACAUAAAUGUCUUUGAGAUGUAAAAUAAUAAAAAAAGAUUUUGCUGAAGUGACACAUCUCCCCAUUAAUAUGCAUUAAUCAUGAAAUUAUGAUGUUUAAAGGCGAUUAUAAAAUACAUGGUGUUGAAGUUGAAUAGUUGAUCUGUUUUUGCUGGUCACAAAACUAGAGGGAACUUGUGAUCGAGACUUAAGAGUAAUGUAUCACAAAUGUCAAAGAUUAAGGAAAAACAAUAAUUAUGGACCUCAUGGUUUAAAGGCGAUUAUAAAAUACAUGGUGUUUAAGUUGAAUAGUUGAUCUGUUUUUGCUGGUCACAAAACUAGAGGGAACUUGUGAUCGUGCCUUAAGAGUAAUGUAUCACAAAUGUCAAAGAUUAAGGAAAAACAAUAAUUAUGGACCUCAUGGUAAGAAUGAUCAAUAAAAAAAAAAGUAAAAAUAAUUUUCUUGUAUCACACAUUAUAUAUUUAUAUACAUAUAUUACUAAUAAGUAUUAUGUAUAUUAAUUGAUAUAUUAGACAAAAAGGAUUUUUUUUUUACAUCACAACACAUUUCAACACAUUUAUACAAUAAUAAAAAAAAAAACAAAUGCCACAUACAA
Molecule: long non-coding RNA, 1423 nt
Organism: Aphis gossypii (cotton aphid)
Lineage: Eukaryota; Metazoa; Arthropoda; Insecta; Hemiptera; Aphididae
Exons: 4
Source: RefSeq, a predicted model, not a curated record